GCAUAUCAAUAAGCGGAGGAAAAGAAACCAACAGGGAUUGCCCCAGUAACGGCGAGUGAAGCGGCAACAGCUCAAAUUUGAAAUCUGGCCUCGGCCCGAGUUGUAAUUUGCAGAGGAUGCUUCUGGCGCGGCGCCUUCCGAGUUCCCUGGAACGGGACGCCACAGAGGGUGAGAGCCCCGUAUGGUCGGACGCCAAGCCAGUGUGAAGCUCCUUCGACGAGUCGAGUAGUUUGGGAAUGCUGCUCUAAGCGGGAGGUAUACGUCUUCUAAAGCUAAAUACCGGCCAGAGACCGAUAGCGCACAAGUAGAGUGAUCGAAAGAUGAAAAGCACCUUGAAAAGGGGGUUAAACAGUACGUGAAAUUGUUGAAAGGGAAGCGCCUGUGACCAGACUUGCGCCGGGCGGAUCAUCCAGCGUUCUCGCUGGUGCACUCCGCCCGGCUCAGGCCAGCAUCGGUUCUGGCAGGGGGAUAAAGGCGGCGGGAAUGUGGCUCCCCCGGGAGUGUUAUAGCCCGCCGUGUAAUGCCCCUGCCGGGACCGAGGUUCGCGCAUCUGCAAGGAUGCUGGCGUAAUGGUCACCAGCGACCCGUCUUGAAACACGGACCAAGGAGUCGUCCAUUACGGCGAGCGUUUGGGUGUAAAACCCCUGCGCGGAAUGAAAGUAAACGUAGGUGAGAGCUUCGGCGCAUCAUCGACCGAUCCUGAUGUUCUCGGAUGGAUUUGAGUAAGAGUCGUAACGGACGGACCCGAAAGAUGGUGAACUAUGCCUGUAUAGGGUGAAGCCAGAGGAAACUCUGGUGGAGGCUCGCAGCGGUUCUGACGUGCAAAUCGAUCGUCAAAUAUGGGCAUGGGGGCGAAAGACUAAUCGAACCAUCUAGUAGCUGGUUACCGCCGA
Molecule: ribosomal RNA, 893 nt
Filed under: Phialocephala lagerbergii
Lineage: Eukaryota; Fungi; Ascomycota; Leotiomycetes; Helotiales; Mollisiaceae
Description: LSU rRNA
Rfam family: Eukaryotic large subunit ribosomal RNA
Source: RNAcentral